GGGGCUGUAGCUCAAUGGAAGAGUGCUUGCCUAGUAUGCAUGAGGCCCUGGGUUCAAUCCCCAGCACCCCUA
Molecule: non-coding RNA, 72 nt
Organism: Marmota flaviventris (yellow-bellied marmot)
Lineage: Eukaryota; Metazoa; Chordata; Mammalia; Rodentia; Sciuridae
Source: the annotation of a RefSeq genome assembly